UACGUAGGGAGCAAGCGUUACUCGGAAUCACUGGGCAUAAAGGGCGUGUAGGCGGACGCGUAAGUCCGGUGUGAAAUCCCUCGGCUCAACCGAGGACAGCCACCGGAUACUGCGUGUCUCGAGUGUGGAAGGGGAGAGUGGAACUCUUGGUGGAGCGGUGAAAUGCGUAGAUAUCAAGAGGAACGCCGGUGGCGAAAGCGGCUCUCUGGUCCAUAACUGACGCUGAGGCGCGAAAGCUAGGGGAGCAAAC
This 250-nucleotide ribosomal RNA is filed under the name uncultured bacterium. RNAcentral's name for it is "partial 16S ribosomal RNA". It matches the Rfam family "Bacterial small subunit ribosomal RNA", at positions 524 to 773 of the family's 1533-position model. The record is from RNAcentral.